CCUACGGGAGGCUGCAGUGAGGAAUAUUGGUCAAUGGGAGAGAUCCUGAACCAGCCAAGCCGCGUGAGGGAAGACGGCCCUAUGGGUUGUAAACCUCUUUUGUCGGAGAACAAAACCCGGGACGUGUCCCGGACUGCGUGUAUCCGAAGAAAAAGCAUCGGCUAACUCCGUGCCAGCAGCCGCGGUAAUACGGAGGAUGCGAGGGUUAUCCGGGUUUAGUGGGUUUAAAGGGUGCGUAGGCGGUCCGUUGAGUCAGCGGUAAAAUGGCGGGGCUCAACCCCGUCGAGCCGUUGAAACUGGCGGACUUGAGUUGGCGAGAAGUACGCGGAAUGCGCGGUGUAGCGGUGAAAUGCAUAGAUACCGCGCAGAACUCCGAUUGCGAAGGCAGCGUACCGGCGCCAGACUGACGCUGAGGCACGAAAGCGUGGGGAUCGAACAGGAUUAGAUACCCAUGUAGUC
Molecule: ribosomal RNA, 459 nt
Filed under: uncultured bacterium
Lineage: Bacteria
Description: partial 16S ribosomal RNA
Rfam family: Bacterial small subunit ribosomal RNA
Source: RNAcentral